This 261-nucleotide ribosomal RNA is filed under the name uncultured archaeon. RNAcentral's name for it is "partial 16S ribosomal RNA". It matches the Rfam family "Archaeal small subunit ribosomal RNA", at positions 748 to 1009 of the family's 1478-position model. The record is from RNAcentral.
UAGCCGUAAACGAUACUCGCUAGGUGUCGGCCACGGUGCGACCGUUGUCGGUGCCGUAGGGAAGCCGUGAAGCGAGCCACCUGGGAAGUACGGCCGCAAGGCUGAAACUUAAAGGAAUUGGCGGGGGAGCACAACAACGGGUGGAGCUUGCGGUUUAAUUGGAUUCAACGCCGGAAAUCUUACCGGGACCGACAGCAACAUGUAGGCCAAGCUGAAGACUUUGCCGGAUUAGCUGAGAGGAGGUGCAUGGCGUAGUCGUGU